CCUACGGGAGGCAGCAGUGGGGGAUAUUGCACAAUGGGGGAAACCCUGAUGCAGCGACGCCGCGUGGGCGAAGAAGUAUUUCGGUAUGUAAAGCCCUAUCAGCAGGGCAGAAGAAAUGACGGUACCUGUGUAAGAAGCCCCCGCUAAAUACGUGCCAGCAGCCGCGGUAAUACGUAUGGUGCACGCGAUCUCCGGAUUUACUGGGUGAAAAGGGCGCGCAGGGGGGAGGGCAAGCCUGAUGUGAAAGCCCGGGGCCAAACCCCGGGACUGCCUUGGGCACUCGCAGGCUGGAGUGCGGGAGAGGGAGGCGGAAUGCCUGGUGUAGCGGUGAAAUGCGUAGAUAUUAGGAGGAACACCAGUGGCGAAGGCGGCCUACUGGACGGUGACUGACGCUGAGGCUCGAAAGCGUGGGGAGCAAACAGGAUUAGAUACCCUAGUAGUC
Molecule: ribosomal RNA, 442 nt
Filed under: uncultured bacterium
Lineage: Bacteria
Description: partial 16S ribosomal RNA
Rfam family: Bacterial small subunit ribosomal RNA
Source: RNAcentral